GGGGGUGUAGCUCAGCUGGGAGAGCACCUGCUUUGCAAGCAGGGGGUCAUCGGUUCGAACCCGUUCACCUCCACCA
RNAcentral lists this transfer RNA (76 nucleotides) under Acidobacteriaceae bacterium. RNAcentral's name for it is "tRNA-Ala". It matches the Rfam family "tRNA". From Rfam's summary of the family: Transfer RNA (tRNA) molecules are approximately 80 nucleotides in length. Their secondary structure includes four short double-helical elements and three loops (D, anti-codon, and T loops). The record is from RNAcentral. Lineage: Bacteria; Pseudomonadati; Acidobacteriota; Terriglobia; Terriglobales; Acidobacteriaceae. RNAcentral also lists the same sequence under 4 other names.